GUGCAAGCGUUAUCCGGAAUAUGGGCGGUAAAGCGCGCGGCAGGUGGUUUCUAAGUCUGAUGUGAAAGCCCACGGCUCAACCGUGGAGGGUCAUUGGAAACUGGGAGACUUGAGUGGCAGAAGAAGAAAGUGGAAUUCAUGUUGUAGCGGUGAAAUGCGGUAGAGAUAUGGAGGAACAACAGUGGCGAAGGCGACUUUUCGGUCUGUACCGACCAUGAAGCGGGAAAGCGUGGGGAGCCAAACAGAUUAGAUUCCCUGGUAAUCCAACGCGUUAACGAUGAGGGGCUAGUUGUAGGGGGUUUUCCGCCCUUAGGUGCUAAGGUUACGCCAUAAGCAAUCCGCCCUGGGAAUACGGGCGCAAGGGUUAAAAUCAAAAGAAAUUGACGGGGGCCGGCCCAGCGGGUGAACCUGUGGUUUAAUUUGGAGCAACGGGGAGAACCUUACCAGGUUUUGACCUUCUUUGACAACCCUAAAGAUAGGGGUUUUCCCUUGGGAGCAGAAUGACCGGUGGUGCAUGGUUGUUGUUAGCUUGUGUUCUGAGAUGGUGGGUUAAGUUCCGCAACGAGCGCCACCCUUGAUUUUAGUUGCCAUCCUUUAAUUGGGCCAUUUAAGGUGACCGCCGGUGACCAACCGGAGGAAGGUGGGGAAGAAGUCAAAUCAUCCUGCCCCUUAUGACCUUGGGUACCCCCCUGGUUCAAUGGGCGGUACAAAGAGGUGCAAGGCCCGGAGGGGGAAGUAAUUUUAUAAAACCGUUUUCAGUUUGGAUUGUUGGGUGCAAAUUGCCUACCAGAAGCCGGAAUCGCUUGUAAUCGCGGAUCAGCCAGCCGCGGGGAAUAAGUUCCCCGGCCUUGUACACCCCCCCCGUCACCCCCCGAGAGUUUGAACCCCCGAAGUCGGUGGGGUAACCUUUUGAGCCAGCCGCUAGUACGA
This 930-nucleotide ribosomal RNA is filed under the name uncultured prokaryote. RNAcentral's name for it is "bacterial SSU rRNA". It matches the Rfam family "Bacterial small subunit ribosomal RNA", at positions 532 to 1462 of the family's 1533-position model. The record is from RNAcentral.